This 269-nucleotide ribosomal RNA is filed under the name uncultured prokaryote. RNAcentral's name for it is "partial 16S ribosomal RNA". It matches the Rfam family "Bacterial small subunit ribosomal RNA", at positions 524 to 792 of the family's 1533-position model. The record is from RNAcentral.
GACGAAGGUGGCGAGCGUUGUUCGGUGUUACUGGGCUUAAAGCGUAUGUAGGCGGAAAGGUAAGCGUCUUGUGAAAUCCCUCGGCUUAACCGAGGAAUUGCUUGGCGAACUGUCUUUCUUGAGGCAAGUAGGGGUGCAUGGAACUCUUGGUGGAGCGGUGGAAUGCGUAGAUAUCAAGAGGAACGCCGGAGGUGAAAACGGUGCACUGGGCUUGUCCUGACGCUGAGAUACGAAAGCGUGGGGAGCGAACGGGAUUAGAUACCCCCGUA